GAUGAACGCUAGCUACAGGCUUAACACAUGCAAGUCGAGGGGAAACGACAUCGAAAGCUUGCUUUUGAUGGGCGUCGACCGGCGCACGGGUGAGUAACGCGUAUCCAACCUGCCCAUCACUUGGGAAUAACCUUGCGAAAGUAAGACUAAUACCCAAUGACAUCCCACGAAGACAUCUGAAUGGGAUUAAAGAUUUAUCGGUGAUGGAUGGGGAUGCGUCUGAUUAGCUUGUUGGCGGGGUAACUGCCCACCAAGGCAACGAUCAGUAGGGGUUCUGAGAGGAAGGUCCCCCACAUUGGAACUGAGACACGGUCCAAACUCCUACGGGAGGCAGCAGUGAGGAAUAUUGGUCAAUGGGCGAGAGCCUGAACCAGCCAAGUAGCGUGCAGGAUGACGGCCCUAUGGGUUGUAAACUGCUUUUAUAAGGGAAUAAAGUGGGUCUCGUGAGACUUUUUGCAUGUACCUUAUGAAUAAGGACCGGCUAAUUCCGUG
Molecule: ribosomal RNA, 492 nt
Filed under: uncultured bacterium
Lineage: Bacteria
Description: partial 16S ribosomal RNA
Rfam family: Bacterial small subunit ribosomal RNA
Source: RNAcentral